Long non-coding RNA from Oreochromis aureus, 561 nucleotides. The record is from Ensembl. NCBI's taxonomy places the organism in Eukaryota, Metazoa, Chordata, Actinopteri, Cichliformes, Cichlidae.
GGAACACCUGCACGUUACAGAAGAGAAAGGAAGUGGACAAGCAGGUGACCCAGGUAGAGACUGCAGGGAGUUCAGACUCCAGCUGACGGAGCAGGAGGAGGACAAUGAGAGUAGAAAACAACCACAGCUGAAGUCCUUCUGCAGAUUUUGGAGGUUUGGAGAGAAGAUGACUUCAAAAAGUUCAAAUGGUACCUGAGUCAAAAGGACCUGAUGGAAGGUUUGAGAGGAAUCCUGAGGAGUCGGCUGGAGAAAGCAGACCGGAAGGACACAGUGGAUCAGACGGUCCAGCUCUACUGCACCAACACCGCCUACAUCACCAGGAUGGUGUUGACGAAGAUAGAAAGGAAUGAUCUGCUGGAGAGGCUGAGCAAUCUGCCAGAAGUCAGGGGUCCAGGAGAGCACAGGGAUCCCGCAGAGCACAGGGUCCCCGCAGACAACAGUGUCCCCGCAGAGCACAGGGUCCCCGUGUCCCCGCAGAGCACAGGGUCCCCGCAGAGCACAGGGUCCCCGCAGAGCACAGGGUCCCCGCAGAGCAUAGGAUCCCGCAGAGCACAGGAUCCC